Molecule: ribosomal RNA, 582 nt
Filed under: Enterobacter sp. R17
Lineage: Bacteria; Pseudomonadati; Pseudomonadota; Gammaproteobacteria; Enterobacterales; Enterobacteriaceae
Description: bacterial SSU rRNA
Rfam family: Bacterial small subunit ribosomal RNA
Source: RNAcentral
GGGUGACGAGCGGCGUACGGGUGAGUAAUGUCUGGGAAACUGCCUGAUGGAGGGGGAUAACUACUGGAAACGGUAGCUAAUACCGCAUAACGUCUUCGGACCAAAGUGGGGGACCUUCGGGCCUCAUGCCAUCAGAUGUGCCCAGAUGGGAUUAGCUAGUAGGUGGGGUAAUGGCUCACCUAGGCGACGAUCCCUAGCUGGUCUGAGAGGAUGACCAGCCACACUGGAACUGAGACACGGUCCAGACUCCUACGGGAGGCAGCAGUGGGGAAUAUUGCACAAUGGGCGCAAGCCUGAUGCAGCCAUGCCGCGUGUAUGAAGAAGGCCUUCGGGUUGUAAAGUACUUUCAGCGAGGAGGAAGGCAUUAAGGUUAAUAACCUUAGUGAUUGACGUUACUCGCAGAAGAAGCACCGGCUAACUCCGUGCCAGCAGCCGCGGUAAUACGGAGGGUGCAAGCGUUAAUCGGAAUUACUGGGCGUAAAGCGCACGCAGGCGGUCUGUCAAGUCGGAUGUGAAAUCCCCGGGCUCAUACUGGGAACUGCAUACGAAACUGGCAGGCUAAAGUCUUGUACAGGGGGGUAC